Ceratotherium simum simum (southern white rhinoceros) is the source of this 76-nucleotide non-coding RNA. Lineage: Eukaryota; Metazoa; Chordata; Mammalia; Perissodactyla; Rhinocerotidae. The record is from RefSeq and is a predicted model, not a curated record.
UAAUUUAUAUCUCUAAUGGUCUAUUUUAAGUUGAUAGAAACUUAAGUUUGAUUCUAUUGUAAAGCUCAACAUUACU